RNAcentral lists this ribosomal RNA (496 nucleotides) under uncultured bacterium. RNAcentral's name for it is "partial 16S ribosomal RNA". It matches the Rfam family "Bacterial small subunit ribosomal RNA", at positions 30 to 523 of the family's 1533-position model. The record is from RNAcentral.
AUUGAACGCUGGCGGAAUGCUUUACACAUGCAAGUCGAACGGUAGAGGGGGCAACCCCUCGAGAGUGGCGAACGGGUGAGUAAUAUAUCGGAACGUGCCCAGUCGUGGGGGAUAACGUAGCGAAAGUUACGCUAAUACCGCAUACGAUCUAAGGAUGAAAGCGGGGGAUCGCAAGACCUCGCGCGAUUGGAGCGGCCGAUAUCAGAUUAGGUAGUUGGUGGGGAAAAGGCUCACCAGGCCAACAAUCUGUAGCUGGUUCGAGAGGACGACCAGCCACACUGGAACUGAGACACGGUCCAGACUCCUACGGGAGGCAGCAGUGGGGAAUCUUGGACAAUGGACGCAAGUCUGAUCCAGCCAUUCCGCGUGCAGGAUGAAGGCCCUCGGGUUGUAAACUGCUUUUGUACGGAACGAAAAGGUCUCUCUUAAUACGGGGGACUCAUGACGGUACCGUAAGAAUAAGCACCGGCUAACUACGUGCCAGCAGCCGCCGUAA